This 1518-nucleotide unclassified non-coding RNA is filed under the name uncultured fungus. Its description in RNAcentral is "sequence contains 18S rRNA gene, ITS1, 5.8S rRNA gene, ITS2, 28S rRNA gene". The stretch from base 572 to 1518 matches the Rfam family "Eukaryotic large subunit ribosomal RNA", at positions 1 to 961 of the family's 3401-position model. The record is from RNAcentral. RNAcentral also lists the same sequence under 1 other name. Lineage: Eukaryota; Fungi.
GGAAGGAUCAUUACUAAAAUGAUUAAAAUUAAAAAUCAUUUUCCUUUGAUUAUAAUUUUCCAUGUUGCUUCCACUGGACAGGCAAAAUUUGUUUUACAUUUUAACAAAUGGAGCCCUUUAGCUCGAGGAAAUCUCCUCUUGCUGAAGAGUUUGCCAGUGGGUUAUUUAUAUAAAAAACUUUUUUUUUUAAAAAAAAAUUCAAAAUUUGUUGGAUAUUGGAAAAUAUUAAAAACUUUCAACAACGGAUCUCUAGGCUCUUGUAUCGAUGAAGAACGCAGUGAAAUGCGAUAAGUAAUGUGAAUUGCAGAAUCUCGUGAAUCAUCAAAUUUUUGAACGCACAUUGCACCUUAUAGUAUUCUAUAGGGUAUAUCUGUCUGAGUGUUAGCAAAAUCAAUUUUAUUUUCAGAUUUGACAAUAAGAUAUUUUAAAGAGAUAAUAUUUAUAUUAUCCUUUAGAAAUUCAUUCACGGUAAUCAGUUUAGAAUUUUUAAAAUGUAAUAUAAUAAUAUAAAUCAUUUAAAAAUUUCAAAAUAAUACUUGUGAUAAAUAUAGUGAGAAAAGUAUUUGAAAUUCAACCUCAGAUCAGAUAGGAAUACCCGCUGAACUUAAGCAUAUCAAUAAGCGGAGGAAAAGAAACCAACAGGGAUUGCCUUAGUAACGGCGAGUGAAGUGGCAAAAGCUCAGAUUUGAAAUCUGGUGUCAAUUUGGCAUCUGAGUUGUAAUCUGUAGAGGAGUAUUCAAGUAUUACUAUAACUUAAGUUUUCUGGAACGAAGCAUCAUAGAAGGUGAGAAUCCUGUCUAUAGUAAUAGUUUUAUACUUAUAUGAAUCUCCUUCAAUGAGUCGAGUUGUUUGGGAAUGCAGCUCUAAAUUGGUGGUAAAUUCCAUCUAAAGCUAAAUACUAGCAAGAGACCGAUAGUGUACAAGUAGAGUGAUCGAAAGAUGAAAAGAACUCUGAACAGAGAGUUAAAUAGUACGUGAAAUUGUUGAAAGGGAAGCACUUGCAACUAGAUAUAUAUAUAGCUAAUCAGUUAUCAUUUAUUGGUAAUGCACUUAGCCAUAUAUAAGUUAGUAUGAGUUAUUGACAGCAAGAAAAAAAUUAAUGGAAUGUGGCUCCCCUUGGGGAGUGUUAUAGCCAUUAAUUUAAUAUUGUUAGUUAUGAUUGAGGGCUGCACUUUUGUGAGGAUACUGACAUAAUGGUUGUAAGUGACCCGUCUUGAAACACGGACCAAGGAGUCUAACAUCUAUGCGAGUAUUUGGAUUAUUGUAAUCCUUGUGCGGAAUGAAAGUGAAUGGAGGUGGGAACUAUUAAGUGCACCAUCGACCAAUCCUGAUGUUUUCGGAUGGAUUUGAGUAGGAGCAUAGCUGUUGGGACCCGAAAGAUGGUGAACUAUGCCUGAAUAGGGUGAAGCCAGAGGAAACUCUGGUGGAGGCUCGCAGCGGUUCUGACGUGCAAAUCGAUCGUCAAAUUUGGGUAUAGGGGCGAAAGACUAAUCGAACCAUCUAGUAGCUGGUUCCGGC